UCAAGCUAUAAAGAGCGCAAGGGGAAUGCCUUGGCAUCAGGAGCCGAUGAAGGACGUGAUAAGCUGCGAUAAGCUUCGGGGAGCUGCAAAUGAGCUGUGAUCCGGAGAUUUCCGAAUGGGGAAACCCACCGAAAGGUAUCCCAUACUGAAUCAAAUAGGUAUGGGAAGGGAACCGCCUGAACUGAAACAUCUAAGUAGGGCGAGGAAAAGACAUCAACCGAGAUUCCGCGAGUAGUGGCGAGCGAAAGCGGAUUAGGCCAAACCGGAGGUAGCAAUAUCUCCGGGGUUACGGACAGCAACAUGAAGGAAGUUUUCUAAAAGAACGGCAUGGGAAGGCCGGCCAGAGAGUGUGAGAGCCACGUAUUUGAAAGAGAACUUUUGGAUAGCUGGAUCCAGAGUACCGCGGGACACGAGGAAUCCCGUGGGAAGUCGGGGGGACCACCCUCCAAGCCUAAAUACUACCUGAUGACCGAUAGAGGAGCAGUACCGUGAGGGAAAGGUGAAAAGAACCCCGGGAGGGGAGUGAAAGAGUACCUGAAACCUUGUGCUUACAAGCAGUCAAAGCCCGUUAAGGGGUGAUGGCGUACUUUUUGUAGAACGGUCCGGCGAGUUAUAGUAACUGGCGAGGUUAAGGUAUUGAGUACCGAAGCCGAAGGGAAACCGAGUGUGAAGAGCGCGAAUGAAGUCAGUUGCCAUAGACCCGAAACCAGGUGACCUAGCCAUGACCAGGCUGAAGUGGAGGUAAAGCUCCAUGGAGGGCCGAACCCACGUUCGUUGCAAUGACCGGGGAUGAGUUGUGGCUAGCGGUGAAAUUCCAAACGAACCUGGAGAUAGCUGGUUCUCCCCGAAAUAGUUUUAGGACUAGCGUUGGCAAUGAGUUUCGCGGUGGUAAAGCACUGAAUGGGCUAGGGGGCGAUAAGCUUACUGAACCCUAUCAAACUAAGAAUGCCGCAGAAAUGCUUACCAGCAGUCAGACUACGAGUAAUAAAAUCCGUGGUCAAAAGGGAAACAGCCCAGACCCACAGCUAAGGUCCCCAAUACAUGCUAAGUGGAAAACGAUGUGAGAUUGCAGAAACAACCAGGAUGUUGGCUUAGAGGCAGCCACUCGUUCAAAGAGUGCGUAAUAGCUCACUGGUCGAGUGAUCUUGCGCGGAAAAUUUAACGGGGCUAAGCAUGUAACCGAAGCUUGGGAUUCACGAGAAAUUGUGAGUGGUAGGGGAGCGUCGAAUACGGGGUGAAGUCGCACCGGAAGGAGCGGUGGACUGUAUUCGAGUGAGAAUGCCGGAAUGAGUAGCGAGAAUUAUGUGGGAAUCAUAAUGGCCGAAAAUCUAAGGUUUCCUGGGGAAGGUUCGUCCGCCCAGGGUAAGCCGGGAGCUAAGGCGAGGCCGCAAGGCGUAGUCGAUGCACAUACGGUAGAAAUUCCGUAGCCGGUACAAUUGUUAAUCACGGUGACACAUGAGUGUAGCUCUACCGGGCGUUGGUAGCCCCGGGCGUAAGCGAGCCGAAUGAGGCGAAGUGAGUAAAGCUUGUGGCGAGAAAAGCCGUGAGGAUUGGUUGUACUGCCCGUACCGCAAACCGACACAGGUAGAUGAGGAGAAGAUCCUAAGGCCAACGGGAGAAGGGUUGUUAAGGAACUAGGCAAAUUGACCCCGUAACUUCGGAAUAAGGGGUGCCUACGAAAGUAGGUCGCAGAGAAUAGGCCCAAGCAACUGUUUACCAAAAACACAGGUCUCUGCUAAAUCGAAAGAUGACGUAUAGGGGCUGACGCCUGCCCGGUGCUGGAAGGUUAAGAGGAGAGCUUAGGGAAACCGAAGGUUCGAAUUGAAGCCCCAGUAAACGGCGGCCGUAACUAUAACGGUCCUAAGGUAGCGAAAUUCCUUGUCAGGUAAGUUCUGACCCGCACGAAAGGCGUAAUGAUUUGGGCACUGUCUCAACAGCCCGCCCGGCGAAAUUGUAGUACCGGUGAAGAUGCCGGUUACCCGCAACUAGACGGAAAGACCCCAUGGAGCUUUACUGCAGCUUAAUACUGAGAUUCGGUAAAUCAUGUACAGGAUAGGUGGGAGACUGAGAAAUCUGGCCGUCAGGUCAGAUGGAGUCGCUGUUGGGAUACCACCCUUGGUU
This 2121-nucleotide ribosomal RNA is filed under the name human gut metagenome. Its description in RNAcentral is "bacterial LSU rRNA". It matches the Rfam family "Bacterial large subunit ribosomal RNA", at positions 3 to 2211 of the family's 2925-position model. The record is from RNAcentral.